GAUGAACGCUAGCUACAGGCUUAACACAUGCAAGUCGAGGGGCAGCAUGGUCUUAGCUUGCUAAGGCCGAUGGCGACCGGCGCACGGGUGAGUAACACGUAUCCAACCUGCCGUCUACUCUUGGACAGCCUUCUGAAAGGAAGAUUAAUACAAGAUGGCAUCAUGAGUCCGCAUGUUCACAUGAUUAAAGGUAUUCCGGUAGACGAUGGGGAUGCGUUCCAUUAGAUAGUAGGCGGGGUAACGGCCCACCUAGUCUUCGAUGGAUAGGGGUUCUGAGAGGAAGGUCCCCCACAUUGGAACUGAGACACGGUCCAAACUCCUACGGGAGGCAGCAGUGAGGAAUAUUGGUCAAUGGGCGAGAGCCUGAACCAGCCAAGUAGCGUGAAGGAUGACUGCCCUAUGGGUUGUAAACUUCUUUUAUAAAGGAAUAAAGUCGGGUAUGUAUACCCGUUUGCAUGUACUUUAUGAAUAAGGAUCGGCUAACUCCGUGCCAGCAGCCGCGGUAAUACGGAGGAUCCGAGCGUUAUCCGGAUUUAUUGGGUUUAAAGGGAGCGUAGAUGGAUGUUUAAGUCAGUUGUGAAAGUUUGCGGCUCAACCGUAAAAUUGCAGUUGAUACUGGAUAUCUUGAGUGCAGUUGAGGCAGGCGGAAUUCGGGGUGUAGCGGUGAAAUGCUUAGAUAUCACGAAGAACUCCGAUUGCGAAGGCAGCCUGCUAAGCUGCAACUGACAUUGAGGCUCGAAAGUGUGGGUAUCAAACAGGAUUAGAU
RNAcentral lists this ribosomal RNA (766 nucleotides) under uncultured Bacteroidales bacterium. RNAcentral's name for it is "bacterial SSU rRNA". It matches the Rfam family "Bacterial small subunit ribosomal RNA", at positions 28 to 783 of the family's 1533-position model. The record is from RNAcentral. Lineage: Bacteria; Pseudomonadati; Bacteroidota; Bacteroidia; Bacteroidales.